Non-coding RNA from Maylandia zebra (zebra mbuna), 469 nucleotides. NCBI's taxonomy places the organism in Eukaryota, Metazoa, Chordata, Actinopteri, Cichliformes, Cichlidae. The record is from RefSeq and is a predicted model, not a curated record.
CUCGGCUCCAGCGACUCCUUUCACUUUGACAGCGGCAGUUUGGAUAAUUGUGUCGGCGUCUGGGGUCUUUAUCUGUGAGUGGAGAAACUCACUGAUCAACAGUACAGGAUUUGCAGUCUGGAGAUGUUGCUCAGAGGGACGAAGAAACGCAUGAAGAAACGCACCACAAAGAAGCUCUGAACGUGAAAUCCUUGAAGAGAUUUUCUCUUAUCUUUGUUUGCACUUGAAAGUUUUUCAAGAAGCAGCACUCUUUUCCAGUGGUCACUGAAAUAUUUCUUUGAGAGUAAUGAGUGAUGGCUCUUCAGGAGAUCAGUGUGAUCUUUACACACAGACCCUCGGCCUUCUCUGCUGCUGUGCUGCUUCUAACACUCGUCCUCUGCAGAGAAUCAAAGCCUGAGAAGACAGAAACAAUUCAGCAACCUGGAAAUGUUCAGACGCCGGAUCAGAGUGAAGAUACCAAAGAAGCAGG